RNAcentral lists this unclassified non-coding RNA (817 nucleotides) under Hevea brasiliensis (rubber tree). The record is from RNAcentral. Lineage: Eukaryota; Viridiplantae; Streptophyta; Magnoliopsida; Malpighiales; Euphorbiaceae.
GUAACCACAUGCUUAAGCUACAGAAACUGUUAAUUCAAUGACACAACACAACUGCAAGUGGUCAAAGAUUCACGGCACAUCCCUAAUUUAAACAAGAUUGAGUAACUCUACAGGGAAGCACCUAGAAAAACACAAGGAAAAGCCAUAAGGUAAUAGGGUUCAACACGUUUUGAAUGCCUCUUUUAAACAAAUACAUCCCUCCUUUUCUCAUCCCAAACAAAGGAAGAAAAUAAAAAAGUCGGUGUGAUGUGUAACUAAGUUGAAAUUGAAAAGUUUAAUGAUAAAAUUAUAGAUUCUAAACCAUUUAGGAUUUACAAUUCAUGAAAAAAAAAAUCCCCAGCGCCCUCUCUUUCUCUUCCUCCCUCCAAACAAGCACUUUCAUAUACAUUUCACAUCUGAUUCACAUUCAACCAACAUUAGAAAUCCUCCCUUCACAUAAUUUGCCUACUUUUCAUGUAGUUACCAUUUAGAGUAGUCAGUGCCAGCACAGUGCAUCUAACAGCCCCCAAAUCUUAAAUAUCCGAUGUUUUUGUAAUUCCAAAAUUUACCUCCUGCUACCUAUGGAGGCACACACAUAUUGCUAAAGCCUGCUCUGGCCUUCAAAAAAUCUAUCUAAAAGUACCUCUUCCACCUUUUCUCAUCAUGAAACUCUAAUAAUCUAAUGUUCCUUCAAGAAUGUGGGCAUGAAUUCUAAAGUAGUGCUUAGUAGCAUCAUCACUAAGUACAAAAAUGCAAUUAAGUUCACCUCAAAAAGGAAUUAAAAAAGAAAAAAUAACAAGCAAAGGCAGGACUCUCUUCAUCUUCUUCUUCUUCUUCU